CCCUUAGAUGUCCUGGGCCGCACGCGCGUUACACUGAUGCAUUCAACGAGCUUAUAACCUUGGCCGAGAGGCCUGGGCAAUCUUGUUAACGUGCAUCGUGAUAGGGAUAGAUUAUUGAAAUUAUUAAUCUUGAACGAGGAAUUCCUAGUAAACGCAGAUCAUCAAUCUGCAUUGAUUACGUCCCUGCCCUUUGUACACACCGCCCGUCGCACCUACCGAUUGGAUGGUCCGGUGAAGCCUCGGGAUUGUGGUUCUUGCCGCUUUGUUGUGGCGUGACCGCGAGAACUUGUCUAAACCUUAUCAUCUAGAGGAAGGUGAGGUCGUAACA
Molecule: ribosomal RNA, 328 nt
Filed under: uncultured eukaryote
Lineage: Eukaryota
Description: partial 18S ribosomal RNA
Rfam family: Eukaryotic small subunit ribosomal RNA
Source: RNAcentral